RNAcentral lists this long non-coding RNA (351 nucleotides) under Manihot esculenta (cassava). RNAcentral's name for it is "long non-coding RNA (MESC_LNC007825)". Lineage: Eukaryota; Viridiplantae; Streptophyta; Magnoliopsida; Malpighiales; Euphorbiaceae. The record is from RNAcentral.
UCCUUCUGAAUUGGUUAUCAAUGUAAUUCUUGUCUUCUUGAGUACGACUUAGACUAAACUUAUCCAACUACUGUCUGAAAUUGUAUAUAUUAUUCUUGCAUCAAACAAUUUUAAUAUAUCCUUUUUUACAAUCUCCAUUGUAGGAGGGUUCAAUUUUCUUUGUACUCCUCUCUUCGGCUUAUUAUCCUCAUCGAUGGGGAUCUUAUGCAUGCAUGUAGAGGGACUUAAUCCCUUGAGAUCCGCAACUGUCCACUCAAUAGCUUUCUUAUAUUCUUUUAAUACCUGAACAAGUUUAUCUUCUUCAUGCUCACUUAGCUUCUUAGAAACUAUGAUCGGAAGGGUGUUCUUACU